RNAcentral lists this ribosomal RNA (921 nucleotides) under uncultured eukaryote. RNAcentral describes it as "bacterial SSU rRNA". It matches the Rfam family "Bacterial small subunit ribosomal RNA", at positions 8 to 981 of the family's 1533-position model. The record is from RNAcentral.
AGGGUUUGAUCAUGGCUCAGAGUGAAGGCUAUAAGCCUGCUUGAAUACAUGCGAGUUGAAUGGUUAAAACCAUAGCGUACGGGUGAGUAAUAGGCUUAUAUCUGGCUUCAACUUCGGAAUAAUCCUAUCCCUCUGGGGAGAAGGUAACAGGAAAAUACCGAAUAACUAUAUAAAGGUCCGCCGGUUGAAGAUGAUUAGGUUCAGUAUUAGGUAGUUGGUGAAUAAAAGCUCACCAAGCCGAUGAUGCUUAGUUGGUCUGAUAGGACGAUCAAUCACACUGGGACUGAGACAAGGCCCAGGUUUCAUUUGAAGGCAGCAGUAAGGAAUAUUGGACAAUGAGCGAAAGCUUGAUCCAGCAAGGCUUGGUGAGGGAUUGAAGGCUUAGGUUGUAAACCUCUUUUUUAACUGAGGAUAAUGACAUUAGGUUAAGAAUAAGUCCCGACUAACUUCGUGCCAGCAGUCGCGGUAAUACGGAGGGGGCAAGCCUUAUUCGUCAUAACUGGGCGUAAAGGGCCCGUAGGUGGUUUUCUGAUAUGUUAUUUGUCAAAAAUUGUAGCUUAACUACAGAGAGGCAUUUAAAACAGGAAAGCUAGAGUCUGACAGAGGAAGAUGGAAUUUUUUAAUUAGGGUUAGAAUCCAGAUAAGUAAAAAAGAACAUCAUGUGCGAAAGCGAUUUUCUUGUUCAGUACUGACGCUGAGGGGCGAAGGCGUAGGUAGCGAACAGGAUUUGAGACCCUGGUAGUCUACGCUGUCAACGAUGAGUGCUAGCUUUUAGAAAUCUAGAAGACAUAGCUAAGGCAUUAAGCACUCCGCCUGAGGAGUACGAGCGCAAGCUUAAAAAUCAACGGAAUUGGCGGGGUUCAAACAAGUGGUGGAGCAUGUGGUUUAAUGCGAUAAUACGCGCGUAACCUUACCAGGUCC